UGGGGAAUAUUGCACAAUGGGCGAAAGCCUGAUGCAGCAACGCCGCGUGAGCGAUGAAGGCCUUCGGGUCGUAAAGCUCUGUCCUCAAGGAAGAUAAUGACGGUACUUGAGGAGGAAGCCCCGGCUAACUACGUGCCAGCAGCCGCGGUAAUACGUAGGGGGCUAGCGUUAUCCGGAAUUACUGGGCGUAAAGGGUGCGUAGGUGGUUUCUUAAGUCAGAGGUGAAAGGCUACGGCUCAACCGUAGUAAGCCUUUGAAACUGGGAAACUUGAGUGCAGGAGAGGAGAGUGGAAUUCCUAGUGUAGCGGUGGAAUGCGUAGAUAUUAGGAGGAACACCAGUGGCGAAGGCGACUUACUGGUCUUUUACUGACGCUGAGGCACGAAAGCGUGGGGAGCAAACA
Molecule: ribosomal RNA, 401 nt
Filed under: uncultured prokaryote
Description: bacterial SSU rRNA
Rfam family: Bacterial small subunit ribosomal RNA
Source: RNAcentral